This is a non-coding RNA of Tetranychus urticae (two-spotted spider mite), 468 nucleotides long. The record is from RefSeq and is a predicted model, not a curated record. NCBI's taxonomy places the organism in Eukaryota, Metazoa, Arthropoda, Arachnida, Trombidiformes, Tetranychidae.
UAUUUGAGUAUAAGCGUCGCCUUGGUGAUUUUAUAGGAAACGGAAAAUGAAAUCAAGCAAGUCUCAUUUGGCAACGCUUGUAAAAGACAACUCUUUGCGGAGGAAUAAAUUGAGAAAUUUUGAGUUUAGUCGUGCUUAAUUGUCAAGUCAAUUGAUCAGUUUAUUUAUUAAAUUUCCAAAGGUUAUAAUUUAAGAUUGAAACAUGGAUAAAGUGAAACUUGCUCGUGUUACUAAAGUUUUGGGAAGAACCGGAUCCCAAGGACAAUGUACCCAAGUUCGGGUUGAAUUUUUGGACGAGAAUAAUCGAAGUAUCAUAAGGAAUGUAAAAGGACCUGUCAGAGAAGGUGACAUUCUUACUCUUUUAGAAUCUGAAAGAGAAGCUAGAAGAUUGAGGUAAACAGUGUGUUGUAUCCUGUCCAUGUAAUCCACCUUUUCAGACUUAAUAAAGUUAAUGUGAUCUGUUAACAA